This is a long non-coding RNA of Anolis carolinensis (green anole), 4390 nucleotides long. RefSeq lists it as uncharacterized. The record is from RefSeq and is a predicted model, not a curated record. Lineage: Eukaryota; Metazoa; Chordata; Lepidosauria; Squamata; Anolidae. The transcript is spliced from 2 exons.
UUUAUGUAAUGUCCUGAUUUUAGAGAUUAUAUUGUUGCUUCCUGCCUGGGGGAAUCCUUUUUUGGGAGGUGUUAGCUGGCCCUGUUGGUUUCCUUUCUGGAAUUCCCAUUUUCAGAGUGUUUUCUUUAUGUAAUGUCCUGAUUUUAGAGAUUAUAUUGUUGCUUCCUGCCUGGGGGAAUCCUUUGUUGGGAGGUGUUAGCUGGCCCUGUUGGUUUCCUUUCUGGAAUUCCCAUUUUCAGAGUGUUUUCUUUAUGUAAUGUCCUGAUUUUAGAGAUUAUAUUGUUGCUUCCUGCCUGGGGGAAUCCUUUGUUGGGAGGUGUUAGCUGGCCCUGUUGGUUUCCUUUCUGGAAUUCCCAUUUUCAGAGUGUUUUCUUUAUGUAAUGUCCUGAUUUUAGAGAUUAUAUUGUUGCUUCCUGCCUGGGGGAAUCCUUUGUUGGGAGGUGUUAGCUGGCCCUGUUGGUUUCCUUUCUGGAAUUCCCAUUUUCAGAGUGUUUUCUUUAUUUAAUGUCCUGAUUUUAGAGAUUAUAUUGUUGCUUCCUGCCUGGGGGAAUCCUUUGUUGGGAGGUGUUAGCUGGCCCUGUUGGUUUCCUUUCUGGAAUUCCCAUUUUCAGAGUGUUUUCUUUAUUUAAUGUCCUGAUUUUAGAGAUUAUAUUGUUGCUUCCUGCCUGGGGGAAUCCUUUGUUGGGAGAUGUUAGCUGGCCCAGUUGUUUCCUUUCUGGAAUUGAGAGGCCUCCAUCUAAAAAAAACCUAAACCCAAACAUUGCGGCCUGGGGGCCUCCCUCCUUGGGGCCAGGGCGCUUCCCGGCCUUGAGGUGUUUAUCUCCCAAAGAAAAGAGUUAAAAGAAAGGAAACCUUGGUCCUUGCCGCCUCCCUCCGGCCUGGCGGGAGGCGGAGGUGGAUCUUGGGGGGGAAGGUUCGGGCUCCGGCUCUCUCGUGGCUGGGGCCGCCCUGAGGGCUGCGGGGCACCGAGGAGCCUGCGAUGGUCUUCAUGGGGAGGGGGGGCCUUUCUGGAAGCCCCCCCCGCCUUCGGCUCUGCAGGCCUCCACAUCCCAAAAAAAGAAAAGAAAAAGAAAAGAAACCUUGGGGCCUCGCGGCCUCGGGAGGCUGAGGUGGGUCGGGGGGGGGCUCCCUCCGGCCUGUGGCGCAUGGAGGAGGUGGUGCUUGGGGGGGGGUUGUUCCACGCCUGCUGUGGCCCCGCCACGGCCUGAGAAUGUUUACUCCAUGGCCCCGCCGCGUGGAGGCCCCUCCUCCUCCGACCACCAUGGGGUCUUCCAGCCAGGCUGACGGCUGGGGUUUUAAGGUCCCAUGGAGGUUUUUGACGGGAUUUUUUAUUGUAUCUACCUAGAGGCGUGGAUGAUGGGUUGUGUUGUCCAAUUUCAAGGCUGGGAGCCCCGUAGUUUAGUUGUUUUGCUCGGUGCCGCGAUUCCAUCACUCUUUUAUAUAUAUAGAUACUAAUAGUAAUACCAUAUAAUAAUAUUAAUGAUAUGGUAUAUAUUACAUAUUAUAUAAUAGUUGUGCUGGUACAGCUGUACCAGAACCUUCUAUUUUACUUUCUUGCUGCAAAUGUUUGCAGCCAUAGGACAGGCCACCUGUCAAUCACCAUUAAGUUUGGUUCCGCCCCCUGUUCAGGGCUCUGGGAGGGAAGGAGCCAUUUUUAAGUUAGUCUCUCUUAGAAAGCUCAGCUGUAGGACAUAAACCAGCUCGUCCCGUAAAAGGCUUCCUAUUUCAAGAAUACCAGGGAUAAAGAAUACCAGGGAUAAAGAAUACCAGGGAUAAAGACCACCAGGGAUAAAGAGCACCAAGGUUAAAGAACCCCAGGGAUGUUGACUGUCCAGGGAUACAGAACAACAGCACAGAAACAUCUGAAAGCCUCAGCUGAUGACCGCUGCUGCCUUAUGAGGUUUCUACCUGGUCCGCCAGGAUGCCAGCCACCUUCUCGAUCUCCUCCCGGACGGCGACGGACUGCCCGCACCACGGGGCAUAGAAGUAGAAAAGACUGACAUCCGAGUCACGCCGGAUGUCCUCUGCGUGGUCCAGUUGCCCAAGGAAAAGGUCGUGGACCGGAGACGUCAGAGCAAAGAAGCUGACUGGAGGCCUGGCGGGCAAGGUGACGUCUUUGGCACGGCUGGGGAAAGAGAUGCAAUCGUCAGGAGACCCUCUAUUCAAUGCAACAGAGGCUUCAAAUAUGUGUCCCUCUGACUCCCAGAAAUCCCUAUUUGCAGCUUUUUCAAUGGCCAGGAAUUCUGGGGGCUGGAGUCCCAAAGCCCUGGAAGGUCACAAGUUUGAUAAGUAUGAGGAGUGGCUUAAAGAGCUGGGUCUGUUUUGCCUUCAGAAGAGGAGGCUGAGAAGACACAUGAUCGCCGUGUUUAAAUAUGUGAAAAGGUUUCAUAAGGAAGAGGGAGCAAGCUUCCUUUCUAGAACUUAGUGGAGCCAUGGGUUCAAAUUACAGGAAAAGAGAUUCCACCUGAACAUUAGGAAGAACUUCCUGAUCAAAAGGAGAGCUUUUCAACAGUGGAACUCUCUGCCUCAGAGUCUGGGGAAGCUCCUUCCUUGGAGGCUUCUAAACAGAGGCUCAAUGGCCAUCUGUCGGGGAGGCUUUGGUUGUGCUUUUCCUGUCUUGCAGGGGGUUGGACUAGAUGGCCCAUGUGAUCAUGUCCAACUCUAUUAUUAUUCUAUGAUUCUACCAGUACGAUACAACUUCCUUUUCUUGCACCUAAAAACACGGGAAGGCUUUCCCAGGGACUACAGUCAACUGGAAUAUGGGCUGCCUAAGAACAUUUAAGGAAGCCACUCUGCAGUUUAUACCUGUUUAAGGUGUUUUGUGGAGAGAAAAAGCAGAGUAUAAAUAAUAAUGAUACAAAUGCAAUUAAGGCCAAGAUCAAAAAAUCAGCUGAUGACCCAAAAUGCAGACUGUGCAAGGGAGCUGACAAAACCAUGGAUCAUAUCCUCAGCUGCUGUAAGAACAUCGCACAGACAGACUACAAACAGAGGCAGAACUAUGUGGCCCAAAUGAUUCAUUGGAACUUAUGCCUCAAGUACCACCUCCCAGUAGCAAAGAACUGGUGGGAUCACAAACCUGCAAAAGUAUUGGAAAAUCAACACGCAAAGAUACUGUGGGACUUCCGAAUCCAGACUGGCAAAGUUCUGGAACACAACACACCAGACAUCACAGUUGUGGAAAAGAACAAGGUUUGGAUCAUUGAUGUCACCAUCCCAGGUGACAGUCGCAUUGACGAAAAACAACAGGAAAAACUCAGGACCUCAAGAUUGAACUUCAAAGACUCUGGCAGAAACCAGUGCAGGUGGUCCCAGUGGUGAUGGGCACACUGGGUGCCGUGCCAAAAGAUCUCAGCCGGCAUUUGGAAACAAUAGACACUGACAAAAUUACGAUCUGCCAACUGCAAAAGGCCACCCUGCUGGGACUGGCACGCAUCAUCUGAAAAUACAUCACACAGUCCUAGACACUUGGGAAGUGUUUGACUUGUGAUUUUGUGAUACGAAAUCCAGCAUAUCUAUCUUGUUUUCUGUGUCAUAAAAUAAUAAUAAUAAUAAUAAUAAUAAUAAUAAUCACGGCCUUUUCCUGCAAAAGGCACAUUUUGUGGUGUCAAGCAGUGAAAAAAACACAGCACCUGAGAAAAGACAGGUUUCUAAUUUUUGCACAAAUAAUGUGGGCCUUCUCCCCCAGGAAAUGCCCUCCUCCUGCUUUCUGUACAUUCAAAGCAAGCGACACGUUAAACAUGACGUGGCAGAACAAAUACACACGCACAGCACAUAGCACACUGCUUCCUGGUCCAUUCCUUUCCAUGAUAUAUAUGUGUCAAUAUUUAAAGAGACUAAGAAAUCCUGGAGCACCUUUGAGACUAGGGGCGGGGGGAAGCGUUUUGAGUAUAGUUUUACACAAGUUUCUGAGAUACUUUCAGAGGAUUAUAAACUCACAGUUACAGUCAUAGUCUGCUACAGGCAUAGACAAAGUAUCUUUUGUUUACAAUUUGAUUUCAAAGGUGCUACAUGAGUCCUACAUGUAGUCCUUUUUUCCUACAUUGAUACAGAUUAGUAAGGUCAUGCCUUUGUGUAAAAUUGUAGCAGAUGCAAUAAUAAUAAUAAUAAUAAUAAUACAGUUUUCCAAAACUUGAAAUGAUCCACAAAGAUACUGGCAUCUUUGCCUUCUGGUGUCAAACUUUGUUUCAUGUACAAAAUUGUUAUUAAAACUCUGAAUUAGAAGUUUUGAAUUUGAAGCCUAUAGGUCAAUUUAGCACCCUGUGUUUGGUGUAUGUUUUUAUAAUGAUGGAUUUUUACCUAUUUACUGUAUGUUCAUAUGUUUUUACUCUGUUGAACCCCAAUUUGAGCCAUUAGGAGAAGUGGGUAAAAAUAAAAUGUAUUAUUACGAUUA